Non-coding RNA from Alternaria postmessia, 148 nucleotides. The record is from the annotation of a RefSeq genome assembly. NCBI's taxonomy places the organism in Eukaryota, Fungi, Ascomycota, Dothideomycetes, Pleosporales, Pleosporaceae.
GUCGGAGUGCCGGAGUGGUUAACGGGUAUGACUCGAACGAUUUAUCUAUUAGAUAUCAUAUGCUUUCGGGCGCGCAGGGUAAGCAUCAUUCAUCAACACUAAUCAUGACUCAACUAACAAACAACCAGUUCGAGUCCUGUCUCCGACG